AGGGAUUGUGACUAGUUUGUAGGCAGGGAUGUGUUGUGGUUUAGUGAAGAAUUGACAGCCUUGGUAUUUUCGGACUAAUUGUUUUGCAUCUGCCAAUGCCAUGGGCCAGUAGAAGCCUGCUCAGAAAGCCUUGGCUACUAUUGUUCUUGAAGAUGCAUGGUUGCCACAGAUUCCUUUGUGAAUUUCUUCUAGGAUUUCUUGGCCAUCUUCUCGGGUGACACACUUCAUGAGUACCCCUGAUGAUGCACUUUUCCUAUAGAUCUUGUCUCCGUCUAGAACACAGUUUUUUCCUCAUCGGGAAAUUUGCUCAGCUUGACUUUUGUCAGAUGGUAACUUAUGGUCUUUGAUGUAGUCGAUGAAGGGUGUCCUCC
This 371-nucleotide long non-coding RNA is filed under the name Setaria viridis. RNAcentral's name for it is "long non-coding RNA (SVIR_LNC001851)". The record is from RNAcentral. Lineage: Eukaryota; Viridiplantae; Streptophyta; Magnoliopsida; Poales; Poaceae.